CACAGAGCCUCUGCGUGAGUCCCCGAUUUUCCCGUCUGGCGCUCUGACCUUGCCUCCCAUUUGAUCUCAGGGCGGUGGAGACUGUGUAGUACAGUGGAGUGUUCCAGAGGCCACGUAACAUGUAAUGUGACCACAGAUUGAACACAGAAGCAUUUAAGAGAAUCAGCAGUUUGUAUUAAGCAGAUAGUGAAGAAAUUUACCAAAUUGUGAAACAAGGCGUCUCUCUCCUCUCCUUACUUAUUUUUGUUUUGGAAAGUAUAAUUAUAUUCCAUUAAAAUGUGUAUAUUUAUAUACUCAAUGAGAAGAUUAUUUUUAAAUGAAUUAAUGAAAAGAUUGAAAUGUUCUCAGUUUUACUUUCUGAUACAGUGAUUAUCGAUAGCGAGAACUCUCACUUCUCUGUGGUGUAAGAGGGCUUUGAGAAGAGCUGGCCUCCAGCAGCCUGACUCUCCAGCUUCAUGGCCAGUGAUUUCCUCUCCUCCCUCAUACUUUUCACAUGAACAUCCAGCUCCAGACAAGAUGAAGCAGAUCCACUUUCUCCCUUUUCCUCUGGUUAAGUGCUUCCUAAAAUCCUGAACAUCACAGAUGCAACCAACAUCUGAAAGGUAAAGCAAAGGCUCGGGGCCUCAGGACUCAAGGAGUGACAUGUCACCAGGGUGGCAUCAGCAGAGACCCAGACGGGCUGCUGAGCUUCUGCUCUGGUCCAGCAAUAAUGAGACGCCCGCCACUCCGCAAGUGUGUCGACGGCUGAAUGGAGACCCUGGACUUUUACCCCCACCUGGCGGUAACCAGGAGGUCACCCCGCCCCGCCCGCCUCAGCAGAGCGGUAGGAAAGGGGCCCUGCUGAAACAGAUCAGUCUCACAACACAAUACCUGAAGUGUCCAAGGUGCGAUUUCAAAUCACGCAUGAUGCCAAGAACUGGGAAAAUCUCAACUUGAAUGAGAAAAGAUAAUUAGCAGAUGCCAACAUGGAGAUGACAGAGAUGUUGGAAUUAUCUGACAAGGAUUUAAAAACAACCAUCAUAAACAUGCUUCACUGAGCAAUGAUAGCAAUGCUCAAUAACUUAAAAUAAAGGAUGACUUAAAGGAACAAAUAGAAAGUCUCAGCACAGAAAUAAAAGAUAGAAAGAAGGAUCAUAUCCUUUACUUGGGCCUUAAAAGUACCACUCGUGCUUCUGGGAUGACCACCCUUUCUUUGUGCCUGGGCCAAGGUGUCUGCCUCUUCUUAGAACACCCAUCUCUCGUUUUUAAAUCCUGCUUGUCCCUGGGGUCAGCUGAGAUGUCACCUCCUCUGCGAAGCAUUCCUUGACUUCCUUGCCCCUUCCCCCUGAAAGCUCCCUACACCAUAGCACUCACACUCAACUCCAAUUAUUCUGUCAUCUCUCCCUCUGCACCUGCCCGGUGUAAAAACUUUCCAGAGGGCCUGUGUCUUAUCGCAGGUGUCUGGCACAAUACCUGGCUUAAAAUAAGCACUCAGAAUAAAUGAAUAAAUGAAUAAAUCUGUGAAUAAAUGGAAA
This is a non-coding RNA of Odocoileus virginianus texanus, 1514 nucleotides long. Lineage: Eukaryota; Metazoa; Chordata; Mammalia; Artiodactyla; Cervidae. The record is from RefSeq and is a predicted model, not a curated record.